GACGAACGCUGGCGGCGUGCCUAAUACAUGCAAGUAGAACGCUGAAGAGAGGAGCUUGCUCUUCUUGGAUGAGUUGCGAACGGGUGAGUAACGCGUAGGUAACCUGCCUUGUAGCGGGGGAUAACUAUUGGAAACGAUAGCUAAUACCGCAUAACAAUGGAUGACACAUGUCAUUUAUUUGAAAGGGGCAAUUGCUCCACUACAAGAUGGACCUGCGUUGUAUUAGCUAGUAGGUGAGGUAAUGGCUCACCUAGGCGACGAUACAUAGCCGACCUGAGAGGGUGAUCGGCCACACUGGGACUGAGACACGGCCCAGACUCCUACGGGAGGCAGCAGUAGGGAAUCUUCGGCAAUGGGGGCAACCCUGACCGAGCAACGCCGCGUGAGCGAAGAAGGGUUUCGGAUCGUAAAGCUCUGUUGUAAGUCAAGAACGGGUGUGAGAGUGGAAAGUUCACACUGUGACGGUAGCUUACCAGAAAGGGACGGCUAACUACGUG
This 497-nucleotide ribosomal RNA is filed under the name uncultured bacterium. RNAcentral describes it as "partial 16S ribosomal RNA". It matches the Rfam family "Bacterial small subunit ribosomal RNA", at positions 28 to 507 of the family's 1533-position model. The record is from RNAcentral.